RNAcentral lists this long non-coding RNA (681 nucleotides) under Equus caballus (horse). Its description in RNAcentral is "lncRNA (ENSECAG00000032470.3)". Lineage: Eukaryota; Metazoa; Chordata; Mammalia; Perissodactyla; Equidae. The record is from RNAcentral.
UGUGUCUCUUGGAUUUAUAAGAUGGCUGCUCCUUUCUGUGCUACAGGGGAUGACUUCACACCCAUGGUGGAGGUGUGGGGGGCAAAUAAUGAGGGAAUAAUGGGCUUCGAGGUCUCAUGACUUGGGAGUCAUCUGCUGGCCCCUUGUCCUCUCCAGCUGAUGAUCCACGGGGAACUAGACCCAAUAAGUGAUCAAAGAGAAAGUGUCAUCAUCCUGAAAUCUUCCUUAGGCUGAGCCCUUGCUGGAGACCAACCAAGCUGAGAUCAGGAUCUGAUAAACAUCUCAAAGCAGGGCCAAGUUUUGACUUUAUGGAUCGAACAUAUUCCCUUGUGCUGUGCUCUGGGGAGGUGUUUGAAAAUGUUCGAGAUGUAGAAGGUUAUGCUCAGCGCUAACAUUCUCGGAGCCUGGGAUGAGAGGACACAUGGAGUCACACACUGAAUGGCUAAUCCUUUUCGCCACUCCCACCCCACGUCACUGUCAAGCGUGUGCAUCCUCUGUGACGGCACUUCACGGCCUGCACACCUGGGACCAGUCCGUUUUGUGAAGGAACAGAGGACAAGUGGCUUGGCCUCCAGAGACGUUAGUUACCAGCAGCGACUUUCAGGUGACAGGUCAUGCUGUACCCAAUCCCAAGUGACAGAGGCACCUGUGUGUUCUUUAAUAAACAUAUUUCUUUGUGUA